RNAcentral lists this long non-coding RNA (793 nucleotides) under Brachypodium distachyon (stiff brome). Its description in RNAcentral is "long non-coding RNA (BDIS_LNC003377)". Lineage: Eukaryota; Viridiplantae; Streptophyta; Magnoliopsida; Poales; Poaceae. The record is from RNAcentral.
UGGGCUGGCUCGGGCGCGCGAGGGGGAAUUGGCCAAUCCGGCCCAAUUCGGCCGGGCCGAUCCGUUUCUCUUUUUUUUCCUCUUAGCCUUUUCUCUUUUUCUUUUUCUGUAAAUCCCUUCUAACUUUUGAUUUUGAACUCCAAAUUGAUCCAAAUAAAUUCCAGAAAAUUUGUAAAAUCAUAUUAUAAUAUGAUUCAACUUUUGGGACUAAUUUCUCUUCGAAAUAAAAUAUAUAAAAAUACAUUUGCCUUAUAAAUGCCUUUAGGGCUAUAUAACUAUUUAAAAAAAAUAGUUUUUCAACUCCAAAUAAAUACCAAAAAUUAUGGGAUAGCUUAUUUAUGCAAUAAACCCCUUCUGUAGUUAAACCCUAUUGGUUUAAAGAUCCAAAGCUCAAAUGGGUGAAUAACUUGGUUUUAAAAAUGGAAUAAAACCCUUUUAAAGCCUUUUUGGAAUUCAAAUUUGAUUCAAAUAUGCAAUUGUGGCAUGAUGCUCAUGGAUGCAAUGCUUUGAAUUUUUGGGAUGUUACACUUUGGGCAGUGCUUGUUAAGCGAUGUGAAGUCGACACACAUAUGCAUCACUGUGGUAUUCUUCUUGGGGACAAGGACGGGGUUUGCUACCCAUGUCGCUUGUUUUAUCUCCCUGAUGAAUUUAGCUUCGAGGAGUCGUUUAACUUCCUCCCCGAUGGCUUUGCGCUUUGGCUCCGAUAAACGCCGCAUGGGUUGUCGCACCGGCUUUGCAUUCUCGUCCACUUUUAAGAGCGUGCUCUGCUAAUUCCCAGGGAGUUCCAGGCAUG